This 425-nucleotide ribosomal RNA is filed under the name uncultured bacterium. RNAcentral describes it as "partial 16S ribosomal RNA". It matches the Rfam family "Bacterial small subunit ribosomal RNA", at positions 354 to 796 of the family's 1533-position model. The record is from RNAcentral.
GUGGGGAAUAUUGGACAAUGGGCGAAAGCCUGAUCCAGCCAUGCCGCGUGAGUGAUGAAGGCCUUAGGGUUGUAAAGCUCUUUCAGUAGGGAAGAUAAUGACGGUACCUACAGAAGAAGCCCCGGCUAACUUCGUGCCAGCAGCCGCGGUAAUACGCAGGGGGCUAGCGUUGUUCGGAUUUACUGGGCGUAAAGCGCACGUAGGCGGAUUGGUCAGUUAGAGGUGAAAUCCUGGAGCUCAAAUCCAGAACUGCCUUUAAUACUGCCAGUCUAGAGUCCAGAAGAGGUGAGUGGAACUCCUAGUGUAGAGGUGGAAUUCGUAGAUAUUAGGAAGAACACCAGUGGCGAAGGCGGCUCACUGGUCUGGUACUGACGCUGAGGUGCGAAAGCGUGGGGAGCAAACAGGAUUAGAAACCCCUGUAGUCC